GGCGCAAGGGUGAAUAACACCUGGGAAUCUGCCCUUUUGUAUCGGGAUACAGUUGGAAACGACUGCUAAUACCCGAUACGCCCUUCGGGGGAAAGGUCCUCCCCAGAAGGAGGACCCCCCUUCCAAUUACCUUGUUGGGAGGGUAAUGGCCUACCAAGGCUACGUUCGGUACCUGGUCUGAAAGGAUGAUCACCCCCCCUGGGACUGAAACCCGGCCCAAACUCCUACGGGAGGCACCAUUGGGGAAUAUUGGACAAUGGGGGCAACCCUGAUCAGCCACUGCCGCGUGUGUGAUGAAGGCCUUAGGGUUGUAAAGCACUUUCACUGGUGAAAAUGACUACGGUAACCUGAUAAGAAGCCCCCGCUAACCUCGUGCGCCCCGCCGCGGUAAUACCAAGGGGGCGAGCGUUGUUCGGAAUUACUGGGCGUAAAGGGAGC
Molecule: ribosomal RNA, 438 nt
Filed under: uncultured marine bacterium
Lineage: Bacteria
Description: partial 16S ribosomal RNA
Rfam family: Bacterial small subunit ribosomal RNA
Source: RNAcentral